UAAUACGUAGGGUGCGAGCGUUAAUCGGAAUUACUGGGCGUAAAGCGUGCGCGGGCGGUUUUGUAAGACAGGCGUGAAAUCCCCGAGCUCAACUUGGGAAUUGCGCUUGUGACUGCAAGGCUAGAGUAUGUCAGAGGGGGGUAGAAUUCCACGUGUAGCAGUGAAAUGCGUAGAGAUGUGGAGGAAUACCGAUGGCGAAGGCAGCCCCCUGGGACGUCACUGACGCUCAUGCACGAAAGCGUGGGAGCAAACAGGAUUAGAUACCCUGGUAGUCCACGCCCUAAACGAUGUCAACUAGUUGUUGGGGAUUCAUUUCUUCAGUAACGUAGCUAACGCGUGAAGUUGACCGCCUGGGGAGUACGGUCGCAAGAUUAAAACUCAAAGGAAUUGACGGGGACCCGCACAAGCGGUGGAUGAUGUGGAUUAAUUCGAUGCAACGCGAAAAACCUUACCUACCCUUGACAUGCCACUAACGAAGCAGAGAUGCAUCAGGUGCCCGAAA
Molecule: ribosomal RNA, 502 nt
Filed under: uncultured Cupriavidus sp.
Lineage: Bacteria; Pseudomonadati; Pseudomonadota; Betaproteobacteria; Burkholderiales; Burkholderiaceae
Description: bacterial SSU rRNA
Rfam family: Bacterial small subunit ribosomal RNA
Source: RNAcentral